Molecule: microRNA precursor, 59 nt
Filed under: Oreochromis niloticus (Nile tilapia)
Lineage: Eukaryota; Metazoa; Chordata; Actinopteri; Cichliformes; Cichlidae
Description: microRNA oni-mir-10961 precursor
Source: miRBase by way of RNAcentral
UCUUUGUCUACUUCAGGUGUUUUUGUUUUUCUUUUAGCACCUUUAAGUAGAAAUUGACC